Molecule: ribosomal RNA, 253 nt
Filed under: uncultured bacterium
Lineage: Bacteria
Description: partial 16S ribosomal RNA
Rfam family: Bacterial small subunit ribosomal RNA
Source: RNAcentral
GGCGGAGGAUACAAGCGUUAUCCGGAAUGAUUAGGCGUAAAGCGGCCGCAGGUGGCUGUUCAAGUCUGCUGUCAAAGACCGGGGCUUAACCCUAGAAAGGUAGUGGAAACUGAACGGCUGGAGUGCAGUAGGGGUAGAGGGAAUUCCCAGUGUAGCGGUGAAAUGCGUAGAGAUUGGGAAGAACCCCGGUGGCGAAAGCGCUCUGCUGGACUGCAACUGACACUGAGGGACGAAAGCUAGGGGAGCGAAUGGG